RNAcentral lists this long non-coding RNA (289 nucleotides) under Elaeis guineensis (African oil palm). RNAcentral's name for it is "long non-coding RNA (EGUI_LNC061460)". The record is from RNAcentral. Lineage: Eukaryota; Viridiplantae; Streptophyta; Magnoliopsida; Arecales; Arecaceae.
UUCAAUAUCCUUGAUCACUGUCAUACAAUGCUCAUGGACAGACUGCCCUUCGUGCAUCUUCAGGUUGAAGAGUCUCUUGGAUACUUCGAAGUAUGCAGUAUGGCUCUGCUCACCAUACAACUCUUGUAGGUGAGUAAUCAUGGCCCAGGCAGUGGGCAUAUGCUUGUGUUGAUUUUGUAACUCAUUUGACAUAGAUGCCAGUACAUAGCACUUAACCUGACUAUCUUCAUCCAGCCACUUCUCAAAAGUAGUUCUCUGCUUAGCAGUAGGACGGUUUGGCAAUACAACG